Molecule: long non-coding RNA, 195 nt
Filed under: Dermacentor andersoni
Lineage: Eukaryota; Metazoa; Arthropoda; Arachnida; Ixodida; Ixodidae
Description: uncharacterized LOC126527281
Source: RNAcentral
GCCUUUGUCGUCGUAUCCGAAGCCGGUGAGCGUGAGCCAGCCUUGAGCGUCGGCGCGGGGCUCCGGCAGGCAGACUGCAUUGAUGAAGCCGUUGGUUGAGGCGAAGUCCACAUCGCGCUCGAGUUGCAGCAGGGCCAGGUCGUAGCUGUACAUGUCGCGCUCGGGGUCCCAGCGGGGGUGCAGCACACGCCGGUA